This 507-nucleotide ribosomal RNA is filed under the name uncultured bacterium. RNAcentral's name for it is "partial 16S ribosomal RNA". It matches the Rfam family "Bacterial small subunit ribosomal RNA", at positions 29 to 523 of the family's 1533-position model. The record is from RNAcentral.
AGUGAACGCUGGCGGUAGGCCUAACACAUGCAAGUCGAAUGGCAGCACAGAGGAGCUUGCUCCUUGGGUGGCGAGUGGCGGACGGGUGAGGAAUACAUCGGAAUCUACUCUGUCGUGGGGGAUAACGUAGGGAAACUUACGCUAAUACCGCAUACGACCUACGGGUGAAAGCAGGGGACCUUCGGGCCUUGCGCGAUUGAAUGAGCCGAUGUCGGAUUGAGCUAGUUGGCGGGGUAAAGGCCCACCAAAGCGACGAUCCGUAGCUGGUCUGAGAGGAGGAUCAGACACACGGGGACUGAGACACGGUCCAGACUCCUACGGGAGGCAGCAGUGGGGAAUAUUGGACAAUGGGCGCAAGCCUGAUCCAGCCAUACCGCGUGGGUGAAGAAGGCCUUCGGGUUGUAAAGCCCUUUUGUUGGGAAAGAAAUCCAGCUGGCUAAUACCCGGUUGGGAUGACGGUACCCAAAGAAUAAGCACCGGCUAACUUCGUGCCAGCCGCCGCAGUAA